RNAcentral lists this ribosomal RNA (460 nucleotides) under uncultured bacterium. RNAcentral's name for it is "partial 16S ribosomal RNA". It matches the Rfam family "Bacterial small subunit ribosomal RNA", at positions 338 to 795 of the family's 1533-position model. The record is from RNAcentral.
CCUACGGGUGGCAGCAGUGAGGAAUAUUGGUCAAUGGACGCAAGUCUGAACCAGCCAUGCCGCGUGCAGGAAGACGGCUCUAUGAGUUGUAAACUGCUUUUGUACGAGGGUAAACGCAGAUACGCGUAUCUGUCUGAAAGUAUCGUACGAAUAAGGAUCGGCUAACUCCGUGCCAGCAGCCGCGGUAAGACGGAGGAUUCAAGCGUUAUCCGGAUUUAUUGGGUUUAAAGGGUGCGUAGGCGGUCGGAUAAGUUAGAGGUGAAAUCCCGAGGCUCAACUUCGGAAUUGCCUCUGAUACUGUGCGGCUAGAGAGUAGAUGCGGUAGGCGGAAUGUAUGGUGUAGCGGUGAAAUGCUUAGAGAUCAUACAGAACACCGAUUGCGAAGGCAGCUUACCAAGCUACUUCUGACGUUGAGGUACGAAAGCGUGGGGAGCAAACAGGAUUAGAUACCCGGGUAGUC